CCUACGGGUGGCUGCAGUGGGGAAUUUUGGACAAUGGGGGCAACCCUGAUCCAGCCAUGCCGCGUGCGGGAAGAAGGCCUUCGGGUUGUAAACCGCUUUCGGACGGAAAGAAAUCGCCAUCUCUAACAUAGGUGGUGGAUGACGGUACCGUAAGAAGAAGCACCGGCUAACUACGUGCCAGCAGCCGCGGUAAUACGUAGGGUGCGAGCGUUAAUCGGAAUUACUGGGCGUAAAGCGUGCGCAGGCGGAUAUUUAAGUCAGAUGUGAAAUCCCCGGGCUUAACCUGGGAAUUGCAUUUGAAACUGGAUAUCUAGAGUGCGUCAGAGGGGGGUGGAAUUCCACGUGUAGCAGUGAAAUGCGUAGAGAUGUGGAGGAACACCGAUGGCGAAGGCAGCCCCCUGGGAUGACACUGACGCUCAUGCACGAAAGCGUGGGGAGCAAACAGGAUUAGAUACCCCAGUAGUCCA
Molecule: ribosomal RNA, 467 nt
Filed under: uncultured Thiotrichaceae bacterium
Lineage: Bacteria; Pseudomonadati; Pseudomonadota; Gammaproteobacteria; Thiotrichales; Thiotrichaceae
Description: bacterial SSU rRNA
Rfam family: Bacterial small subunit ribosomal RNA
Source: RNAcentral